RNAcentral lists this ribosomal RNA (274 nucleotides) under uncultured bacterium. Its description in RNAcentral is "partial 16S ribosomal RNA". It matches the Rfam family "Bacterial small subunit ribosomal RNA", at positions 523 to 796 of the family's 1533-position model. The record is from RNAcentral.
CUACGGAGGGGGUUAGCGUUGUUCGGAAUUACUGGGCGUAAAGCGUACGUAGGCGGACUGGAAAGUUGGGGGUGAAAUCCCGGGGCUCAACCCCGGAACUGCCUCCAAAACUUCCAAUCUAGAGAUCGAGAGAGGUGAGUGGAAUUCCAAGUGUAGAGGUGAAAUUCGUAGAUAUUUGGAGGAACACCAGUGGCGAAGGCGGCUCACUGGCUCGAUACUGACGCUGAGGUACGAAAGCGUGGGGAGCAAACAGGAUUAGAAACCCCGGUAGUCC